RNAcentral lists this ribosomal RNA (497 nucleotides) under uncultured bacterium. RNAcentral describes it as "partial 16S ribosomal RNA". It matches the Rfam family "Bacterial small subunit ribosomal RNA", at positions 28 to 507 of the family's 1533-position model. The record is from RNAcentral.
GAUGAACGCUGGCGGCGUGCCUAAUACAUGCAAGUCGAGCGAACGGACGAGAAGCUUGCUUUUCUGAUGUUAGCGGCGGACGGGUGAGUAACACGUGGAUAACCUACCUAUAAGACUGGGAUAACUUCGGGAAACCGGAGCUAAUACCGGAUAAUAUUUUGAACCGCAUGGUUCAAAAGUGAAAGACGGUCUUGCUGUCACUUAUAGAUGGAUCCGCGCUGCAUUAGCUAGUUGGUAAGGUAACGGCUUACCAAGGCAACGAUGCAUAGCCGACCUGAGAGGGUGAUCGGCCACACUGGAACUGAGACACGGUCCAGACUCCUACGGGAGGCAGCAGUAGGGAAUCUUACGCAAUGGGCGAAAGACUGACGGAGCAACGCAGCGUGAGUGAUGAAGGUCUUCGGAUCGUAAAACUCUGUUAUUAGGGAAGAACAUAUGUGUAAGUAACUGUGCACAGCUUGACGGUACCUAAUCAGAAAGCCACGGCUAACUACGUG